This 327-nucleotide unclassified non-coding RNA is filed under the name soil metagenome. Its description in RNAcentral is "partial contains 5.8S ribosomal RNA, internal transcribed spacer 2, and large subunit ribosomal RNA". The stretch from base 1 to 120 matches the Rfam family "5.8S ribosomal RNA", at positions 35 to 154 of the family's 154-position model. The record is from RNAcentral.
GAUGAAGAACGUAGCGAAAUGCGAUAAGUAAUGUGAAUUGCAGAAUUCAGUGAAUCAUCGAAUCUUUGAACGCACAUUGCGCCCCUUGGUAUUCCGAGGGGCAUGCCCGUUCGAGCGUCAUUAUACCCCUCAAGCCUAGCUUGGUGUUGGGGCCUGCUGUUACCGGCAGCCCUUAAAAUCAGUGGCGGUGCCAUCUGGCUCUAAGCGUAGUAAUACUUCUCGCUACAGGGUCCCGGUGGAUGCUUGCCAUCAACCCCUAAUUUUCUAUGGUUGACCUCGGAUCGGGUAGGGAUACCCGCUGAACUUAAGCAUAUCAAUAGCGGAGGA